This 399-nucleotide ribosomal RNA is filed under the name uncultured bacterium. RNAcentral's name for it is "bacterial SSU rRNA". It matches the Rfam family "Bacterial small subunit ribosomal RNA", at positions 357 to 747 of the family's 1533-position model. The record is from RNAcentral.
GGGAAUUUUGGACAAUGGGCGCAAGCCUGAUCCAGCCAUGCCGCGUGCGGGAAGAAGGCCUUCGGGUUGUAAACCGCUUUUGUCAGGGAAGAAACGCGCUGGGCUAAUACCUCGGCGUAAUGACGGUACCUGAAGAAUAAGCACCGGCUAACUACGUGCCAGCAGCCGCGGUAAUACGUAGGGUGCAAGCGUUAAUCGGAAUUACUGGGCGUAAAGCGUGCGCAGGCGGUCGUGCAAGACAGAUGUGAAAUCCCCGAGCUUAACUUGGGAACUGCAUUUGUGACUGCAUGGCUGGAGUGCGGCAGAGGGGGAUGGAAUUCCGCGUGUAGCAGUGAAAUGCGUAGAUAUGCAGGAGGAACACCGAUGGCGAAGGCAAUGUCUCUGGCCUGCACUGACGCU